Molecule: non-coding RNA, 148 nt
Filed under: Streptomyces albireticuli
Lineage: Bacteria; Bacillati; Actinomycetota; Actinomycetes; Kitasatosporales; Streptomycetaceae
Source: RNAcentral
AAGAGGGAACCCGGUGGGAAUCCGGGACUGCCCCGCAGCGGUGAGCGGGAACGACCGCCGUCAUCAGCACUGGCCCGACGAGGGCCGGGAAGCGACGGCCAGUAGGAGCCUCGUGUCCCACGAGACGUGCCCGCGAGUCCGAAGACCU